RNAcentral lists this ribosomal RNA (253 nucleotides) under uncultured bacterium. RNAcentral's name for it is "partial 16S ribosomal RNA". It matches the Rfam family "Bacterial small subunit ribosomal RNA", at positions 524 to 776 of the family's 1533-position model. The record is from RNAcentral.
UACAGAGGUCUCAAGCGUUGUUCGGAUUCAUUGGGCGUAAAGGGUGCGUAGGUGGUGAUGCAAGUCUGGUGUGAAAUCUCGGAGCUCAACUCCGAAAUUGCACCGGAUACUGCGUGACUCGAGGACUGUAGAGGAGACUGGAAUUCAUGGUGUAGCAGUGAAAUGCGUAGAGAUCAUGAGGAAGACCAGUGGCGAAGGCGGGUCUCUGGACAGUUCCUGACACUGAGACACGAAGGCCAGGGGAGCAAACGGG